AACGAACGCUGGCGGCAUGCCUAACACAUGCAAGUCGAACGAGACCUUCGGGUCUAGUGGCGCACGGGUGCGUAACGCGUGGGAACCUGCCCUUAGGUUCGGAAUCACUCCCCGAAAGGGGUGCUAAUACCGGAUAAUGUCUUCGGACCAAAGAUUUAUCGCCUUUGGAUGGGCCCGCGUUGGAUUAGCUAGUUGGUAGGGUAAAAGCCUACCAAGGCGACGAUCCAUAGCUGGUCUGAGAGGAUGAUCAGCCACACUGGGACUGAGACACGGCCCAGACUCCUACGGGAGGCAGCAGUGGGGAAUAUUGGACAAUGGGCGAAAGCCUGAUCCAGCAAUGCCGCGUGAGUGAUGAAGGCCUUAGGGUUGUAAAGCUCUUUUACCCGGGAUGAUAAUGACAGGACCGGGAGAAUAAGCUCCGGCUAACUCCGU
Molecule: ribosomal RNA, 432 nt
Filed under: uncultured bacterium
Lineage: Bacteria
Description: partial 16S ribosomal RNA
Rfam family: Bacterial small subunit ribosomal RNA
Source: RNAcentral